RNAcentral lists this ribosomal RNA (164 nucleotides) under uncultured bacterium. RNAcentral describes it as "partial 16S ribosomal RNA". It matches the Rfam family "Bacterial small subunit ribosomal RNA", at positions 355 to 511 of the family's 1533-position model. The record is from RNAcentral.
UAGGGAAUCUUCCACAAUGGACGAAAGUUUGAUGGAGCAACGCCGCGUGAGUGAAGAAGGGUUUCGGCUCGUAAAACUCUGUUGUUAAAGAAGAACAUAUCUGAGAGUAACUGUUCAGGUAUUGACGGUAUUUAACCAGAAAGCCACGGCUAACUACGUGCCCG